Molecule: ribosomal RNA, 649 nt
Filed under: Streptomyces californicus
Lineage: Bacteria; Bacillati; Actinomycetota; Actinomycetes; Kitasatosporales; Streptomycetaceae
Description: bacterial SSU rRNA
Rfam family: Bacterial small subunit ribosomal RNA
Source: RNAcentral
UGCAGUCGAACGAUGAAGCCGCUUCGGUGGUGGAUUAGUGGCGAACGGGUGAGUAACACGUGGGCAAUCUGCCCUUCACUCUGGGACAAGCCCUGGAAACGGGGUCUAAUACCGGAUAAUACUCCUGCCUGCAUGGGUGGGGGUUGAAAGCUCCGGCGGUGAAGGAGGAGCCCGCGGCCUAUCAGCUUGUUGGUGGGGUAAUGCGCCUCACCAAGUGCGCACGAGCGGUGUAGACCGGCCGUGAGAGGGCGACCGGCCACACUGGGACUGAGACACGGCCCAGACUCCUACGGGAGGCAGCAGUGGGGAAUAUUGCACAAUGGGCGAAAGCCUGAUGCAGCGACGCCGCGUGAGGGAUGACGGCCUUCGGGUUGUAAACCUCUUUCAGCAGGGAAGAAGCGCAAGUGACGGUACCUGCAGAAGAAGCGCCGGCUAACUACGUGCCAGCAGCCGCGGUAAUACGUAGGGCGCAAGCUUUGUCCGGAAUUAUUGGGCGUAAAGAGCUCGAAGGCGGCUUGUCACGUCGGAUGUGAAAGCCCGGGGCUUAACCCCGGGUCUGCAUUCAAUACGGGCUAGCUAGAGUGUGGUAAGGAAGAUCGGAAUUCCUGGUGUAGCGGUGAAAUGCGCAGAUAUCAGGAGGAACACCGGU